This 402-nucleotide unclassified non-coding RNA is filed under the name soil metagenome. RNAcentral's name for it is "partial contains 5.8S ribosomal RNA, internal transcribed spacer 2, and large subunit ribosomal RNA". The stretch from base 1 to 121 matches the Rfam family "5.8S ribosomal RNA", at positions 35 to 154 of the family's 154-position model. The record is from RNAcentral.
GAUGAAGAACGCAGUGAAAUGCGAUAAGUAAUGUGAAUUGCAGAAUUCAGUGAAUCAUCGAAUCUUUGAACGCACCUUGCACCCUUUGGCUAUUCCGAAGGGUAUGCCUGUUUGAGUAUCAUGAACACCUCAACUCUCAUGGUUUGCCAUGAUGAGCUUGGACUUUGGGGGUCUUGCUGGCCUGUGGUCAGCUCCUCUCAAAUGGAUUAGCUUGCCAGUGUUUGGUGGCAUCACAGGUGUGAUAACUAUCUACGCUUGUGGUUUUCCACCAGGUACCCUUCAGCAAUGGGGGUUCGCUGGGGCUCAUAAAUGUCUCUCCUCAGCGAGGACAGCUCUUUGAACGUUUGAUCUCAAAUCAGGUAGGACUACCCGCUGAACUUAAGCAUAUCAAUAAGCGGAGGA